RNAcentral lists this long non-coding RNA (853 nucleotides) under Gopherus agassizii (Agassiz's desert tortoise). Its description in RNAcentral is "lncRNA (ENSGAGG00000009553.1)". Lineage: Eukaryota; Metazoa; Chordata; Testudines; Testudinidae. The record is from RNAcentral.
ACAGACUUAAAUUACUGUAAACUCCUGAACUGCAUGUGUUUACAUUUAUUUUUAUAGAAAUCUCGUUUAAUCAAACCACACACGGUUACGCAGUGUGGAGACAGCAGCAGAACUGUAUUAAUAAAUAAAAAUGAAAGUGUUCAGAAAACAAUGAGUCAAAGAAAUGCUUUCCAUAGAGAACCAGCUCCCUCAUCUUCAUGUUUGGAUAACUGUAGCAGAAAACAACAUGUGAAAAAAAGAGGCCCGAAAAGAUGGAAUAUUUCAGAGCACAGGGCUAUUUCCCAGAAGAAAGCAAGACCUCAUGAACGACAGAUACCUCCUGUUUCCCUAUUGGAGAAGGAUCACCGAGUUUCACUGGUACCUCUUCCUAAGAGCCAACACAUGCUUCUGGAGAAAUCUGAAGUUGCCAACAUUAAAAAAGAAGACAGUGACCCAGAAAUCAUCUGUGUAAUGGCGUCUGAGGAUGAGACUGAAGAUUUGUUUAAGUGUGGGGAAAGUAGAGAAUUUCUUUGGUUGAACAAAGGUUCAUUUGGAGGAAAACAGAAACGGCGUGACUUACAAAGGUAUAUUUGUUUUGAUCAGAAGGAUGCUACAAAAAUAAAGGGAAAUAAUUUGCCGCCUUCAAAAUUGGAAAGUGCAUUGGCUGAAGAUCAAAAAGGAUGUGCUGAAGGAAAAGCCCAAGUUGCAAUGCAGGAGACAGGUGCUGUGGCACACAUAGAAGAGUCUUCCCAGUGUAUGUCUGGAAAGAAAACGGUAGAAACUUUAACCUCUCUUUUAAGAGAUACAUAUGCCAGUGGUUCUCAACCAAGGAUACAAAGCAUACAGAAACAUGACAAAUUAAAGUUAGAAAUUU